CCAGACGAUUCUGCAGAUUCGCCCUUAGAGUUUGAUCCUGGCUCAGAAUCAACGCUGGCGGCGCGCUUAACACAUGCAAGUCGAACGAGAAAGGGGAGCAAUCCCUGAGUACAGUGGCGUACGGGUGAGUAACACGUGGAUGAUCUACCUUCUGGUGAGGAAUAACCAUGGGAAACCGUGGCUAAUACCGCAUAAGCUCGAGAGAGGAAAGCAGCAAUGCGCCGGAAGAGGAGUCCGCGGCCGAUUAGCUAGUUGGCAGGGUAAAAGCCUACCAAGGCGAAGAUCGGUAGCCGGCCUGAGAGGGCACACGGCCACACUGGCACUGAAACACGGGCCAGACUCCUACGGGAGGCAGCAGUGGGGAAUCUUGCACAAUGGGGGCAACCCUGAUGCAGCGACGCCGCGUGAGCGAUGAAGCCCUUCGGGGUGUAAAGCUCUUUCGGCAGGGAAGAUGAUGACGGUACCUGCAGAAGCAGCUGCGGCUAACUACGUGCCAGCAGCCGCGGUAAUACGUAGGGGGCCAGCGUUGUUCGGAAUUACUGGGUGUAAAGGGUUCGUAGGCGGUGCGGCAAGUUGGGAGUGAAAUCUCUGGGCUUAACCCAGAGACGGCUUCCAAAACUGCUGUGCUUGAGUGUGAGAGAGGCUCGUGGAAUUGCAGGUGUAGCGGUGAAAUGCGUAGAUAUCUGCAGGAACACCCGUGGCGAAAGCGGCGAGCUGGAUCACUACUGACGCUGAGGAACGAAAGCUAGGGGAGCAAACAGGAUUAGAUACCCUGGUAGUCCUAGCCCUAAACGAUCAGGACUUGGGGUGCACCCGUUCGGUGUCGUCCCGGAGCUACGCGUUAGUCUGCACUGGGAGUACGGUCGCAGACUGAAACUCAAAUGAUGACGGGGCCGCACAGCGUUGAACAUGUGUUCAUUCGAGCUACCGAGACCUACUUGACUCGAUGCUAUGACAGCUGUGAACCCGCUCCCCCAGGGUACCUAG
Molecule: ribosomal RNA, 987 nt
Filed under: uncultured soil bacterium
Lineage: Bacteria
Description: partial small subunit ribosomal RNA
Rfam family: Bacterial small subunit ribosomal RNA
Source: RNAcentral